RNAcentral lists this long non-coding RNA (344 nucleotides) under Trifolium pratense (red clover). Its description in RNAcentral is "long non-coding RNA (TPRA_LNC007316)". Lineage: Eukaryota; Viridiplantae; Streptophyta; Magnoliopsida; Fabales; Fabaceae. The record is from RNAcentral.
GCUUCAGGAGAGAGAGAACAUUUACAUCACAGAGGAAGUUUCUAACUGUUCAGAGUUUUUGAUAUUUAUCGAUGACUUCUCCAACACUCAUAAACAUCUAGGAUCAAUUGUUGGUACGCAUGUAUAGCUGGUUUGCACAUCAAGGAGAGAAGCUUUUCUAUAUGCAGCAAUUGUUUAUUUGUAUGCCUGUUGCUAUAGAUUAGUUAUGAUAAAUAACUCUGCAAGACAGCGUCAAGUUCGUUUAUCAAUAAAAUUAUUCAUUGUUUGUUUAUCGUAUAAUCGAGAUUAAAGUGAGUGAACUCUAUGAGAAAGUAGUUCCAUUCAAGUAAUGCAUGCAUUAAGAG